Molecule: ribosomal RNA, 821 nt
Filed under: uncultured bacterium
Lineage: Bacteria
Description: bacterial SSU rRNA
Rfam family: Bacterial small subunit ribosomal RNA
Source: RNAcentral
GUUUGAUCCUGGCUCAGAUUGAACGCUUUUAGCAUGCCUAACACAUGCAAGUCGAACGGCAGCACAGUAAAGAUUUCGGUCUUUACGGGUGGCGAGUGGCGGACGGGUGAGUAAAGCGUAGGAAUCUGUCCUGGAGAGUGGGAUAACCCGAGGAAACUCGGGCUAAUACCGCAUGAUAUCGAGAGAUCAAAGCAGGGGACCCUUCGGGGCCUUGCGCUCUAGGAUGAGCCUACGUCGGAUUAGCUAGUUGGUGGGGUAAAGGCCUACCAAGGCGACGAUCCGUAGCCGGUCUGAGAGGAUGACCAGCCACACUGGGACUGAGACACGGCCCAGACUCCUACGGGAGGCAGCAGUGGGGAAUCUUGGACAAUGGGGGAAACCCUGAUCCAGCGAUGCCGCGUGUGUGAAGAAGGCCUUCGGGUUGUAAAGCACUUUAGGUGGGGAAGAAAAGUAAUGAGUGAAUAACUGAUUGCUCUGACGGUACCCGCAGAAUAAGCACCGGCUAACUCUGUGCCAGCAGCCGCGGUAAUACAGAGGGUGCAAGCGUUAAUCAGAAUGACUGGGCGUAAAGGGCGUGUAGGUGGUUGACUAGGUUUGAUGUGAAAUCCCCGGGCUUAACCUGGGAAUUGCGUCGAAAACGGGUCGACUAGAGUGAGAUAGAGGGUUGUGGAAUUUCCGGUGUAGCGGUGAAAUGCGUAGAUAUCGGAAAGAACAUCAGUGGCGAAGGCGACAACCUGGAUCUUAACUGACACUGAGGCGCGAAGGCGUGGGGAGCAAACAGGAUUAAAUACCCUGGUAGUCCACGCAGUAAACGAUGAGAA